UACGGGGGGUGCAAGCGUUACUCGGAAUCACUGGGCGUAAAGCGCACGUAGGCGGACCAGAAAGUUGGGGGUGAAAUCCCGGGGCUCAACCUCGGAACUGCCUCCAAAACUCCUGGUCUUGAGUUCGAGAGAGGUGAGUGGAAUUCCGAGUGUAGAGGUGAAAUUCGUAGAUAUUCGGAGGAACACCAGUGGCGAAGGCGGCUCACUGGCUCGAUACUGACGCUGAGGCACGAAAGCGUGGGGAGCAAACAGG
This 253-nucleotide ribosomal RNA is filed under the name uncultured bacterium. RNAcentral describes it as "partial 16S ribosomal RNA". It matches the Rfam family "Bacterial small subunit ribosomal RNA", at positions 524 to 776 of the family's 1533-position model. The record is from RNAcentral.